UCGAGAAUCUUCCACAAUGGACGAAAGUCUGAUGGAGCGAUGCCGCGUGAUUGAUGAAGUCUUUCGGGACGUAAAGAUCUUUUUUCAAGGAGGAAUUUUUGACGUUACUUGAAGAAUAAGGGGUUGCUAAACUCGUGCCAGCAGCAGCGGUAAUACGAGUGCCCCGAGCGUUAUCCGGAAUUAUUGGGUGUAAAGGGUGUGUAGGCUGAUAUAUUAGUCUUUUGUUAAAGCUCCCGGCUUAACCGGGAAAAAGCAGAAGAAACGGUAUGUCUAGAUGGUGUGAGAGGUGAAUAGAACUCUAAGUGUAGGGGUGAAAUCCGUUGAUAUUUAGGGGAAUACCAAAAGCGAAGGCAAUUCACUGGCACAUUUAUGACGCUGAAACACGAAAGCGUGGGUAGCG
This 400-nucleotide ribosomal RNA is filed under the name uncultured bacterium. Its description in RNAcentral is "bacterial SSU rRNA". It matches the Rfam family "Bacterial small subunit ribosomal RNA", at positions 355 to 770 of the family's 1533-position model. The record is from RNAcentral.